RNAcentral lists this non-coding RNA (179 nucleotides) under Alkalibaculum sporogenes. Its description in RNAcentral is "6S / SsrS RNA". It matches the Rfam family "6S / SsrS RNA". Rfam says of the family: E. coli 6S RNA was the first non coding RNA to be sequenced, but its function was unknown until recently. It consists of 184 nucleotides that fold into an extended hairpin structure with a large single-stranded internal bulge. The record is from Rfam by way of RNAcentral. Lineage: Bacteria; Bacillati; Bacillota; Clostridia; Eubacteriales; Eubacteriaceae.
UUAUUCCUGAGAUGUGCGAUAUACUCUAAUAUUUUGAACCUACAAAUAUUUAUCGGGAGCUUUUGUUCUCAUGAUAAUGUCAGGCCCUCCUCGAAGGGAAGACAGAGGCAUAAGACGAGGCACCCACCUAGAACUCUUCUAGGCGUCAAAAUCUUAGAGAACGGCAUUUUGGGUAAUUU